UUCCCCUUCGGGGGACAGGGUGACAGGUGGUGCAUGGUUGUCGUCAGCUCGUGUCGUGAGAUGUUGGGUUAAGUCCCGCAACGAGCGCAACCCUCGACCUUAGUUGCCAGCAUUCAGUUGGGCACUCUAAGGUGACUGCCGGCUAAAAGUCGGAGGAAGGUGGGGAUGACGUCAAAUCAUCAUGCCCCUUAUGACCCGGGCUACACACGUGCUACAAUGGGCGGUACAAAGGGUCGCGAACCCGCGAGGGGGAGCCAAUCCCAAAAAGCCGCUCUCAGUUCGGAUUGCAGGCUGCAACUCGCCUGCAUGAAGCCGGAAUCGCUAGUAAUCGCGGAUCAGCAUGCCGCGGUGAAUACGUUCCCGGGCCUU
RNAcentral lists this ribosomal RNA (369 nucleotides) under uncultured Anoxybacillus sp. RNAcentral describes it as "bacterial SSU rRNA". It matches the Rfam family "Bacterial small subunit ribosomal RNA", at positions 1013 to 1382 of the family's 1533-position model. The record is from RNAcentral. Lineage: Bacteria; Bacillati; Bacillota; Bacilli; Caryophanales; Anoxybacillaceae.